Molecule: ribosomal RNA, 870 nt
Filed under: Neofusicoccum parvum
Lineage: Eukaryota; Fungi; Ascomycota; Dothideomycetes; Botryosphaeriales; Botryosphaeriaceae
Description: SSU rRNA
Rfam family: Eukaryotic small subunit ribosomal RNA
Source: RNAcentral
CCCUUCGGGCUCUUGGUGAUUCAUGAUAACUUAACGAAUCGCAUGGCCUUGCGCCGGCGAUGGGUCAUUCAAAUUUCUGCCCUAUCAACUUUCGAUGGUAGGAUAGUGGCCUACCAUGGUAUCAACGGGUAACGGGGAAUUAGGGUUCUAUUCCGGAGAGGGAGCCUGAGAAACGGCUACCACAUCCAAGGAAGGCAGCAGGCGCGCAAAUUACCCAAUCCCGACACGGGGAGGUAGUGACAAUAAAUACUGAUACAGGGCUCUUUUGGGUCUUGUAAUUGGAAUGAGUACAAUUUAAAUACCUUAACGAGGAACAAUUGGAGGGCAAGUCUGGUGCCAGCAGCCGCGGUAAUUCCAGCUCCAAUAGCGUAUAUUAAAGUUGUUGCAGUUAAAAAGCUCGUAGUUGAACCUUGGGCCUGGCUGGCCGGUCCGCCUCACCGCGUGUACUGGUCCGGCCGGGCCUUUCCUUCUGGGGAUCCUCAUGCCCUUCACUGGGUGUGCUGGGGAACCAGGACUUUUACUUUGAAAAAAUUAGAGUGUUCAAAGCAGGCCUUUGCUCGAAUACAUUAGCAUGGAAUAAUAGAAUAGGACGUGCGGUCCUAUUUUGUUGGUUUCUAGGACCGCCGUAAUGAUUAAUAGGGAUAGUCGGGGGCAUCAGUAUUCAAUUGUCAGAGGUGAAAUUCUUGGAUUUAUUGAAGACUAACUACUGCGAAAGCAUUUGCCAAGGAUGUUUUCAUUAAUCAGUGAACGAAAGUUAGGGGAUCGAAGACGAUCAGAUACCGUCGUAGUCUUAACCGUAAACUAUGCCGACUAGGGAUCGGGCGAUGUUAUUCUUUUGACUCGCUCGGCACCUUACGAGAAAUCAAAGUC